RNAcentral lists this ribosomal RNA (1441 nucleotides) under uncultured organism. RNAcentral describes it as "16S ribosomal RNA". It matches the Rfam family "Bacterial small subunit ribosomal RNA". The record is from RNAcentral.
CAGGCUUAACACAUGCAAGUCGAGGGGCAGCAUUUUAGUUUGCUUGCAAACUGAAGAUGGCGACCGGCGCACGGGUGAGUAACACGUAUCCAACCUGCCGAUAACUCCGGAAUAGCCUUUCGAAAGAAAGAUUAAUACCGGAUAGCAUACGAAUAUCGCAUGAUAUUUUUAUUAAAGAAUUUCGGUUAUCGAUGGGGAUGCGUUCCAUUAGUUUGUUGGCGGGGUAACGGCCCACCAAGACUACGAUGGAUAGGGGUUCUGAGAGGAAGGUCCCCCACAUUGGAACUGAGACACGGUCCAAACUCCUACGGGAGGCAGCAGUGAGGAAUAUUGGUCAAUGGGCGAGAGCCUGAACCAGCCAAGUAGCGUGAAGGAUGAAGGCUCUAUGGGUCGUAAACUUCUUUUAUAUGGGAAUAAAGUUUUCCACGUGUGGAAUUUUGUAUGUACCAUAUGAAUAAGGAUCGGCUAACUCCGUGCCAGCAGCCGCGGUAAUACGGAGGAUCCGAGCGUUAUCCGGAUUUAUUGGGUUUAAAGGGAGCGUAGGUGGAUUGUUAAGUCAGUUGUGAAAGUUUGCGGCUCAACCGUAAAAUUGCAGUUGAAACUGGCAGUCUUGAGUACAGUAGAGGUGGGCGGAAUUCGUGGUGUAGCGGUGAAAUGCUUAGAUAUCACGAAGAACUCCGAUUGCGAAGGCAGCUCACUAGACUGUCACUGACACUGAUGCUCGAAAGUGUGGGUAUCAAACAGGAUUAGAUACCCUGGUAGUCCACACAGUAAACGAUGAAUACUCGCUGUUUGCGAUAUACAGUAAGCGGCCAAGCGAAAGCAUUAAGUAUUCCACCUGGGGAGUACGCCGGCAACGGUGAAACUCAAAGGAAUUGACGGGGGCCCGCACAAGCGGAGGAACAUGUGGUUUAAUUCGAUGAUACGCGAGGAACCUUACCCGGGCUUAAAUUGCAACAGAAUAUAUUGGAAACAGUAUAGCCGUAAGGCUGUUGUGAAGGUGCUGCAUGGUUGUCGUCAGCUCGUGCCGUGAGGUGUCGGCUUAAGUGCCAUAACGAGCGCAACCCUUAUCUUUAGUUACUAACAGGUCAUGCUGAGGACUCUAGAGAGACUGCCGUCGUAAGAUGUGAGGAAGGUGGGGAUGACGUCAAAUCAGCACGGCCCUUACGUCCGGGGCUACACACGUGUUACAAUGGGGGGUACAGAAGGCGGCUACCUGGUGACAGGAUGCUAAUCCCAAAAACCUCUCUCAGUUCGGAUCGAAGUCUGCAACCCGACUUCGUGAAGCUGGAUUCGCUAGUAAUCGCGCAUCAGCCAUGGCGCGGUGAAUACGUUCCCGGGCCUUGUACACACCGCCCGUCAAGCCAUGAAAGCCGGGGGUACCUGAAGUACGUAACCGCAAGGAGCGUCCUAGGGUAAAACUGGUAAUUGGGGCUAAGUC